This is a long non-coding RNA of Portunus trituberculatus (swimming crab), 807 nucleotides long. RefSeq lists it as uncharacterized. NCBI's taxonomy places the organism in Eukaryota, Metazoa, Arthropoda, Malacostraca, Decapoda, Portunidae. The record is from RefSeq and is a predicted model, not a curated record. The transcript has 5 exons.
UUUACCGGUACAGUACCGUUAAGGCUAGUACUGGUAUUACUGGUACUGGUACCGGAACUUGCCCACCAGUAGUCAACGAUGGACUAAAUACUAGUGAAUUGGAGAAUGCGUGAGGUUGUGGACCGAAUGUGGAUUGAUGAAGGUGGAACGCUUGACAUUGUCUGGGACCAUAACAUGCUGGUGGUGGAGUGUAAGCUGUAUGGAAGAGAAGGGGAGAGACGAGGAGCUGGCGGAAUGUUGUUUGAUGAUCUUUAGGACGCAGAGCCAGAGAAGACGUUUGGGUUUGUGAGGGACUGUGCUGAAGCUGUCAUUCCUUCCUACCUUCCCCUGGUCAAGAAUCACAAGAACAAUGCUGUGUCGGAGGCAGAGCGGUGUUGGCGACUGCUGCGUUGAGGGAGGUACGUGGAGUUCAACUUGGUGUACCAGUGAGGCACCAAGUUUGGAUUUGCCAUGCCCAACGCCAAGAUUGAAAAUAUCUUGAUGUCCCCUUCAUGCGAUUGUGUCAAGAUAUGGAGGGAGAGAGAACAGCCAAAGAGGAGGAGGAAGAGGUACAGGAAGAUAAGAAGAAGAAGAUGAAGAAGAAAAAGAAGAAAGAAUGAAUGAAGAGUAAAAAAAGAAAAAGGAAAGUCAAGCCAAGAGUCCCUGAAUGCUGUGAAGGAGACACUGCUGCGGGAACACUGCACCUCCAAGCCAAGCCAAGCCAAGCCAAGCCACAACACAACACAAGCUUUCUACAACACCUACAGCCAUCAGCAACACCCAGAGUACAAGACAACACCUGGAGCCAUGAAGAACAGUUAGGAUAGA